UGGGGUGUAGCCAAGUGGUAAGGCAGCAGUUUUUGGUACUGUGUAUCGUAGGUUCGAAUCCUACCACCCCAG
Leisingera methylohalidivorans DSM 14336 is the source of this 72-nucleotide non-coding RNA. The record is from Rfam. NCBI's taxonomy places the organism in Bacteria, Pseudomonadati, Pseudomonadota, Alphaproteobacteria, Rhodobacterales, Roseobacteraceae.